CGCCCAGCGACUCCCUUACGGCCGGCGGGAGCCGCUCCGCAGGGGAGAAGCCGCCCCGUGAGGGGCCCCCGUCCCGCCGCCCGGCCAUUUUGUGCUCCCCGCGGCGGCUCGUCGUCCCGCUCCGAAGCGCCGGUCCUCCGGUGCCUCCGCCUCACAGAGCCCCCUCGGGGGGCGGCGGCAGCCCCCGCUGGAGAACCGCGAUUAAAAUCAAUAAACUCGGUCGUUUUAUCGAGCAACAUUCAGAUGGUUUGGUAGGAAAACUGUGCCUCCUGGUGGAGAGUAUAUGAAAUAUAAGUGCGUGUUUCCUUCGGAGGAAAGUGGAGCAUUUGCUGGCCAAUAUCCAUGGCAGAGCCUCCUAGGUGUAACGCAAACCUUCCUGACAGAAGAAGUCAUACCAGAAUAUCACCAGUUGUGCUUCAUUCUUGAGGCCUGAUCUAACAGCAUGUAUUGAAAUAAACACAGUUUUCCUACU
Long non-coding RNA from Cygnus olor (mute swan), 472 nucleotides. RefSeq lists it as uncharacterized. The transcript is spliced from 2 exons. The record is from RefSeq and is a predicted model, not a curated record. NCBI's taxonomy places the organism in Eukaryota, Metazoa, Chordata, Aves, Anseriformes, Anatidae.